UAGUAUGAUUGACAUCCAUGGUUUUUAUUUCUUUUAACUGAUGGUGGCCAUCUCUCAUAUCUUCAGCCAGUAAGGGAGCAUCAAUCCAGACAGUUCCACCAGCAACCAAAAAGUAGAGUUCAUUAAACAAUGUGAACUUGUACCAUUCUGGUAGCCUUUCAUCCUUGAGGAUAGGAUUUUGCCACUUCUCAAUCUCUUCCUCCCACCACUUGUAAUGUGUCAGUGCAUCAUGCACCAAAUUCUGAGCCGCUCUUUCAGAAGUGCCAUAAAAUUUGGUGUAUCUCCUAUGGUAUGAGCUUCCCUUCGAGAACUUUAUCUUUGGAGAUGACCAUGCAAGAGCGAAUGCAACUGUACACUUUCCAUGAGGUUCCACCCAUGUGCAAGCAGAAACUGCAGCACAAAGUGUUUCUCCAGGUGAUGAAGGCAUGCUUGGUCCACAAUUAAAG
RNAcentral lists this unclassified non-coding RNA (446 nucleotides) under Hevea brasiliensis (rubber tree). Lineage: Eukaryota; Viridiplantae; Streptophyta; Magnoliopsida; Malpighiales; Euphorbiaceae. The record is from RNAcentral.